GACGAACGCUGGCGGCGUGCUUAACACAUGCAAGUCGAACGGAAAGGCCCUGCUUUUGUGGGGUGCUCGAGUGGCGAACGGGUGAGUAACACGUGAGUAACCUGCCCUUGACUUUGGGAUAACUUCAGGAAACUGGGGCUAAUACCGGAUAGGAGCUCCUGCUGCAUGGUGGGGGUUGGAAAGUUUCGGCGGUUGGGGAUGGACUCGCGGCUUAUCAGCUUGUUGGUGGGGUAGUGGCUUACCAAGGCUUUGACGGGUAGCCGGCCUGAGAGGGUGACCGGCCACAUUGGGACUGAGAUACGGCCCAGACUCCUACGGGAGGCAGCAGUGGGGAAUAUUGCACAAUGGGCGGAAGCCUGAUGCAGCAACGCCGCGUGCGGGAUGACGGCCUUCGGGUUGUAAACCGCUUUCGCCUGUGACGAAGCGUGAGUGACGGUAAGGGGUAAAGAAGCACCGGCUAACUACG
RNAcentral lists this ribosomal RNA (466 nucleotides) under uncultured bacterium. RNAcentral's name for it is "partial 16S ribosomal RNA". It matches the Rfam family "Bacterial small subunit ribosomal RNA", at positions 28 to 505 of the family's 1533-position model. The record is from RNAcentral.